Molecule: non-coding RNA, 30 nt
Filed under: Homo sapiens (human)
Lineage: Eukaryota; Metazoa; Chordata; Mammalia; Primates; Hominidae
Source: RNAcentral
UGAUGGGAGAACUAUGAAUUUUGAGAUGGU